RNAcentral lists this unclassified non-coding RNA (689 nucleotides) under Hevea brasiliensis (rubber tree). Lineage: Eukaryota; Viridiplantae; Streptophyta; Magnoliopsida; Malpighiales; Euphorbiaceae. The record is from RNAcentral.
GUUCCACUCUUUUAAGAAGAUUUCACGCGCCAUGGGUUAUGGUGAAAAGGACAUCUCCUUAGUAUCAUUCCACUCUGUCUCUAAAGGAUACUAUGGUGAGUGUGGAAAACGGGGAGGUUACAUGGAGAUUACUGGGUUUAGUGCUGAUGUGAGGGAACAAAUAUACAAAGUGGCAUCUGUUAAUCUUUGUUCAAAUAUUUCCGGCCAGAUUCUUGCUAGCCUUGUAAUGAAUCCACCAAAGGAUGGGGACGGCAUCUAUAAAUCGUAUCGUGCAGAGAGAGAUGGAAUCCUUUCAUCUCUGGCAAGGCGUGCUAAGACGUUAGAAGCUGCACUCAACAGUUUAGAAAACGUAACGUGCAAUAAAGCAGAAGGCGCAAUGUACUUAUUCCCUUGUAUUAAGCUGCCUGAAAAGGCAAUCAAAGCAGCAGAAGCAGCAAAUACGGCCCCUGAUACAUUCUAUUGCCGCCAACUUCUCAAUGCCACUGGAAUAGUCGUCGUCCCCGGUUCCGGCUUUGGUCAGGUGCCUGGUACAUGGCACUUCAGAUGUACAAUACUACCCCAAGAGGACAAGAUCCCGGCUGUCGUCUCUCGCCUGACCGACUUCCAUAAAGCCUUCAUGAAUGAAUAUCGUGACUGAAGCUCUUGGGACUCCUGUGUAUCAAGGUGCAGCCAAUUCCCCUUACUUCUUG